CCUACGGGUGGCAGCAGUGAGGAAUAUUGGUCAAUGGACGAGAGUCUGAACCAGCCAAGUAGCGUGAAGGAUGACUGCCCUAUGGGUUGUAAACUUCUUUUAUAUGGGAAUAAAAUGUUCCACGUGUGGGAUUUUGUAUGUACCAUAUGAAUAAGGAUCGGCUAACUCCGUGCCAGCAGCCGCGGUAAUACGGAGGAUCCGAGCGUUAUCCGGAUUUAUUGGGUUUAAAGGGUGCGUAGGUGGAUGGUUAAGUCAGUUGUGAAAGUUUGCGGCUCAACCGUAAAAUUGCAGUUGAUACUGGCAGUCUUGAGUACAGUAGAGGCGGGCGGAAUGCGUGGUGUAGCGGUGAAAUGCUUAGAUAUCACGAAGAACUCCGAUUGCGAAGGCAGUUCACUGGACUGCAACUGACACUGAGGCUCGAAAGUGUGGGUAUCAAACAGGAUUAGAUACCCGAGUAGUC
Molecule: ribosomal RNA, 460 nt
Filed under: uncultured bacterium
Lineage: Bacteria
Description: partial 16S ribosomal RNA
Rfam family: Bacterial small subunit ribosomal RNA
Source: RNAcentral